RNA transcript from Drosophila mojavensis, 5470 nucleotides. It is a transcript of the gene named protein retinal degeneration B, with no coding region annotated. The transcript has 13 exons. Lineage: Eukaryota; Metazoa; Arthropoda; Insecta; Diptera; Drosophilidae. The record is from RefSeq and is a predicted model, not a curated record.
ACCUGCAAACAUGUUGAUCAAAGAGUACCGUAUACCACUGCCCCUCACCGUCGAGGAGUACCGGAUUGCCCAGCUGUAUAUGAUAGCGAAAAAGAGCCGAGAGGAAAGCCAUGGCGAAGGCAGCGGAGUUGAAAUCAUAAUCAAUGAGCCCUACAAAGAUGGACCCGGAGGCAAUGGGCAGUACACGAAAAAGAUUUAUCACGUGGGCAGUCACUUGCCGGGCUGGAUAAAAAGCUUAUUACCAAAGAGCGCUUUGACCGUUGAGGAGGAGGCAUGGAAUGCCUAUCCGUAUACGCGCACACGCUACACCUGUCCCUUUGUGGAGAAAUUCUCACUGGAUAUCGAGACCUAUUACCAUCCGGACAAUGGGUACCAGGAUAAUGUAUUCCAGCUAUCGGGCAGCGAUCUGCGCAAUCGCGUUGUGGAUGUGAUUGAUAUUGUCAAGGAUCAGCUGUGGGGCGGCGAUUACGUGAAGGAGGAGGAUCCCAAGUAUUUUGUAUCAGAGAAGACGGGCCGUGGCCCGCUGGGCGAUGAUUGGCUGGAGGAGUACUGGCGCGAGGUGAAGGGCAAGAAGCAGCCGACGUCCCGCAAUAUGUCCCUGAUGACGGCCUAUAAGAUCUGUCGCGUCGAAUUCCGCUAUUGGGGCAUGCAGACCAAGCUGGAGAAGUUCAUACACGAUGUGGCGCUGCGGAAGACAAUGCUGCGGGCCCAUCGCCAGGCCUGGGCGUGGCAAGACGAAUGGCACGGCCUCACCAUUGAGGACAUACGCGAGCUGGAGCGCCAGACGCAGCUGGCUCUAGCUAAGAAAAUGGGCGGAGGGGAGGAGUGCAGCGAUGACAGCACCUCGGAGCCAUAUAUGAGCAGCGCCACCGCAGCCCCCGCAUCGGGCACGAGUGAGCGCAAUAAAUCAGCGCCGGCUGUGCCGCCCAUUGUCACCCAGCAGCCGCCGAGCGCCGAAGCCAGUUCAGAUGAGGACGAUGAGGACGACGAUGACGAGGAUGAGGAUGGCGUCGGCACCAAUGUGGAGCUGGGUGCCCAGACCAGUGGCAAUCAACGUUCCCGCUCCCAAAGCAUUCAGCUGGCCAACAAGGCCAAGUUCGGCUCGAAGGGCGCCCUGCAUUCGCCCGUGGGAUCUGCGCACAGCUUUGACCUGCAGUCGAAAAAAGCGCAUGGCAAGCCAGCAGUACGCCGUCAUGUGGCCAACUGGCGCAUGGAACGUCUGGAAGUGGACUCCAAAUCGAACUCGGAUGAAGAGUUCUUCGAUUGCUUGGACACAAAUGAGACCAACUCGCUGGCCAAGUGGAGCUCACUGGAGCUGUUGGGCGAGGGCGACGACAGUCCGCCACCGCAUGGCGGCAGCUCCAGUGGCAGCGGUGGUGCUGGCAGCGUGGCCGGGCGCCACAAGCAGGAUGACAGCAUAUUCAAUCAGGACUUUCUGAUGCGCGUCGCAUCGGAGCGCGGCAAUAAGCGUCAGCUGCGCUCCUCGGCCAGCAUCGAUCGCAGUCACGACUCGUCGCCGCCGGGCUCGCCGAGCACGCCCUCUUGCCCCACAACCAUACUGAUGCUGGUGGUGCACGCCGGCAGCGUUCUGGAUGCGGCCAGUGAGCUGACCGCCAAGAAGUCGGAUGUGACCACCUUUAAGGGCUCCUUCGAGGCCGUCAUGCGCCAGCACUAUCCCAGCCUCUUGACGCACUUGACUAUUAAGAUGGUGCCAUGCCCUUCGAUUUGCACGGAUGCCCUGGGCAUACUGUCGAGCCUCAGUCCGUAUUCGUUUGACGCGUCGCCCUCGGCCGCGGACAUACCCAAUAUAGCGGAUGUGCCCAUCGGAGCCAUACCGCUGCUGGCCGUGGCCUCGCCCGAAUUCCAGGAGACGGUGAACAAGACGGUGGCCGCUGCCAAUAUUGUCUAUCAUGAGUUCCUUAAGUCGGAGGAGGGCCACGGCUUCUCGGGCCAGGUGGUCAUGCUGGGCGACUCCAUGGGCUCACUGCUGGCCUAUGAGGCUCUCUGUCGCUCCAACGGCAGCCAGCCGAAUGCCGGCAAUCCGUCGCAGGCCGCCGGCCACAGCCAAGCCGGCGGCGCUGGCACUGGCGCUGGCGAUUGUAGUCGCAUGUCGCGCAUGGAUGACGAUGAGCGCUUCAUUGACUCCGACUUGGAUGCGAAACGUUUGCUGGUGGCACCAUCGCCGCGACGUCGUCGCUCCAGCUCCUCCAGCGAUUCGCGUGCCACCAAGCUGGACUUUGAGGUCAGCGACUUUUUCAUGUUCGGCUCACCGCUGUCGGUGGUCCUGGCCGCACGGAAGCUGCACGACUCAAAGACCGCCCUGGCCCGCCCCAAUUGCCAUCAGGUGUACAAUCUGUUCCAUCCAACCGACCCGAUUGCCUCACGCUUGGAGCCCCUGCUGAGUGCACGCUUCUCCAUUUUGUCGCCGGUGAAUGUGCCGCGCUAUGCUAAAUAUCCGCUGGGCAAUGGACAGCCGUUGCAUUUAUUGGAGGUAAUACAAUCGCAUCCGCAGCACUUUAACGACGGCAAUAAUUUGCUCUCUGCGGGCCGACGACUCUCCGAUGCAUCCAUGCAGAGCACCAUCUCGGGCCUCAUUGAGAAUGUCUCGCUCAGCACCAUACACUCGCUUCAGAACAAAUGGUGGGGCACAAAGCGUUUGGAUUACGCUCUUUAUUGUCCCGAGGGGCUGAGCAAUUUCCCGGCACAUGCCCUGCCGCAUCUAUUCCAUGCCAGCUAUUGGGAGAGUCCCGAUGUGAUUGCCUUCAUAUUGCGGCAAAUUGGCAAAUUCGAGGGCAUACCGUUUGUGGGCUCCCACGAUGACAAGGACAACGCUUCGUUCCAUCCGGGGCAGCCGCGUGAGAAGUGGAUCAAGAAGCGCACGUCCGUCAAGCUCAAGAAUGUGGCGGCCAAUCAUCGGGCCAACGAUGUCAUCGUGCAGGAGGGACGGGAGCAGCGAUUGAAUGCACGAUUCAUGUACGGACCGCUGGACAUGAUCACGCUGCACGGCGAGAAGGUGGACGUGCACAUUAUGAAGGACCCGCCGGCGGGCGAAUGGACAUUCCUCAGCACCGAAGUGACCGAUAAAAAUGGCCGCAUCUCGUACACCAUUCCCGAUCAUUUGUCUCUCGGCUAUGGCAUCUAUCCGGUCAAGAUGGUGGUGCGCGGCGAUCACACGUCUGUGGACUGCUAUAUGGCUGUGGUGCCGCCGUUGACCGAGUGUGUUGUGUUUAGCAUUGACGGCUCCUUCACGGCAUCCAUGUCGGUGACUGGGCGUGAUCCGAAGGUGCGCGCUGGCGCCGUCGAUGUCUGCCGCCAUUGGCAGGAGCUGGGCUAUCUGCUAAUCUACAUUACCGGACGGCCGGACAUGCAGCAGCAGCGCGUCGUCUCCUGGCUCAGCCAGCACAAUUUUCCCCACGGCCUGAUUUCGUUCGCCGACGGCCUAUCCACCGAUCCGUUGGGCCACAAGACCGCCUAUCUCAAUAAUCUCGUGCAGAACCAUGGAAUCUCAAUUACCGCCGCUUACGGCAGCAGCAAGGAUAUUAGCGUGUACACCAAUGUGGGCAUGCGGCCGGAACAGAUCUUCAUUGUGGGCAAGGUGGGCAAGAAACUGCAAUCGAAUGCCACGGUGCUCAGCGAGGGCUAUGCCGCCCACUUGGCUGGCCUGCAGGCCGUCGGUGGCUCCCGUCCGGCUAAGGGCAAUGCGCGUAUGGUCAUUCCGCGCGGCUGCUUCAAUCUGCCGGGACAGUCGGCAAAUCCGCGACGCAGAAGGCUGCAUGAACAAGCUACCAAUGAAGUUUAAAAACGUUUACCAACACUGUAGAUAUGCAACACCGUGAUGCAUUAGAUAAACCGUUAUAAAACCAAACACAAGAAAUUAAACAGAGACAAGAAAGAAGAAAAAAAUCAAAGGAAAAUACUAAAUGCAAAUUUGGUGUAUAGUGUUCGUAAAUUAAUAUAUUUAGUUGAGUUGAUCUGUUUGAUAUGCUUUUAAUGCAUUUUAGAGGAGCAUUGUGUUAUUCAGUGCUCUGGCUGCAAACAGAAAUGAAAAGGAAAAGAAAAAAUAUAGUAUUUAUGCCUACAAUUGGAAAAAACGCAAUCAACUGAAAUCUUUCUCAACUUUUCCUCUGUCUCUUUUUUCACAAAAAAAAAAAAAAAAAAAAAAAUCCCUCUUUGUGAAACUUUAUUUUACAAACAUUUUCCCAUUGAAUCUACACAAAACCCCAACACACACACAUACACACACACACGAACAUGCCACAAAUGCAUCGUCAACUUGACAUCGUUUCAAAUGUGCAGCAAUGAGACGGGCCUAUCAUCGCCGAUACGCAGUGGCUAUCUUAAACGCAAAACCUACCUGAGCCAUCACUAGAUCGAUCCCAGCAGAGGAGCAACCUAACAGAGAGCGUCAUAAUAGACAAGCGAUAGAGAGAGAUAGCGAGAGCGUGAGCUUAGAGACAAAUGUGUGCGUGAUGAGUAAUGCAUUUUAGUUUAUAGCAUAUCGAUGUGCAAAACUAUCGAUUAAUAUAACGCAACCAGCAACUCCCACAAAUACAAGCCAUGCAACUAGCAAUCAACUAUAUUUAUAAUAAUAAAUAAACCAGCAUAUACCUAUCAAACAAAACGCUUCGUACAUGUUUAGAUGACAUCUAAACAUACUAUUGGAUCAGCAUUAGUUGCAGUUUAACAACAACAACAAUAGCAACAACAACAUCUCAGCAUCGAUUGCCACCAUAUGCAACAUCUGUGUAUAUACAUAAAGCCCGUUAUAUUAUGCGCAAUAUAUAGCCAACUACAUAGUAUAUGGUGUAUAUACAAUAUACAAGAUACAAAAUAUAUAUAUAUAUAUAUACAUGAAAAAUUCCAAAAAUGAUAAAAAAAAAAACUAAAUCAAUUGUACAACAUAUAACAAAAGUCAAAUGUGUCACGCGGUACCUGGAAAGAAAGACUGUUUCCUCCUGUUGUUUGAUGGUUUUUCAAACCACAUAAAGAGUAAAAACAAAAACAAAUCACACAAAAUUAAUGAAACAAAAAGGAAAAGAAAAAAAUUAAUGAACAGCUUAUAUAUAUACAAAUAAAUAUGUAUGUGUGGGCACCUAUGUAUAUGUAUGUAGUAUGUGAGCUUAUAUGCUAUAAUUGUAUAACAAAAAACAAAGUCAACCCAUACAUAUAUACAUAUAUAUUUAAACCGUUUAACAUACAUAUGAAAAUAAUAAUAAUAAUAAAAAAAAAAAAAGAGUAAACAAAACAAAGCGAACAAAGUUCAAUAAAUGUGGUAUAAAAACAUGAAUGUUGAUAACAAUUGAAGCUAAGUACAACUUGCAGUUGGUAAUACAAAGAGAUCUCGCUCAGAGAACGGCUCUAUGUAGCUCGCAGAGGUAAAAAGCGUUGCAAAAUCAAACGACAAAUUCAAUGCAUUUCCGAAACCAAACAAAACAAACAGUUUAAAUAAAUAAAAUAUAUAUUGAAAUUG